RNAcentral lists this ribosomal RNA (281 nucleotides) under uncultured bacterium. RNAcentral's name for it is "partial 16S ribosomal RNA". It matches the Rfam family "Bacterial small subunit ribosomal RNA", at positions 46 to 339 of the family's 1533-position model. The record is from RNAcentral.
AGGCUUAACACAUGCAAGUCGAGCGAGAACUGCCCUUCGGGGUGGGGACAGCGGCGGACGGGUGAGUAACGCGUGGGAAUUUACCCUGGAGUGGGGGGACAACAGCUGGAAACGGCUGCUAAUACCGCAUACGCCCUGAGGGGGAAAGGCUUCGGCCGCUCUAGGAUGAGCCCCGCGUCGGAUUAGCUAGUUGGUAGGGUAACGGCCUACCAAGGCGACGAUCCGUAGCUGGUCUGAGAGGAUGACCAGCCACACUGGGACUGAGACACGGCCCAGACUCC